AUUGAACGCUGGCGGAAUGCUUUACACAUGCAAGUCGAACGGCAGCACGGACUUCGGUCUGGUGGCGAGUGGCGAACGGGUGAGUAAUAUAUCGGAACGUGCCCAGUCGUGGGGGAUAACGUAGUGAAAAUUACGCUAAUACCGCAUACGAUCUAAGGAUGAAAGCGGGGGAUCGCAAGACCUCGCGCGAUUGGAGCGGCCGAUAUCAGAUUAGGUAGUUGGUGAGGUAAAGGCUCACCAAGCCAACGAUCUGUAGCUGGUCUGAGAGGACGACCAGCCACACUGGAACUGAGACACGGUCCAGACUCCUACGGGAGGCAGCAGUGGGGAAUUUUGGACAAUGGACGCAAGUCUGAUCCAGCCAUUCCGCGUGCAGGACGAAGGCCUUCGGGUUGUAAACUGCUUUUGUACAGAACGAAAAGGUCUCUAUUAAUACUAGGGGCUCAUGACGGUACUGUAAGAAUAAGCACCGGCUAACUACGUG
This 484-nucleotide ribosomal RNA is filed under the name uncultured bacterium. RNAcentral's name for it is "bacterial SSU rRNA". It matches the Rfam family "Bacterial small subunit ribosomal RNA", at positions 30 to 507 of the family's 1533-position model. The record is from RNAcentral.